RNAcentral lists this ribosomal RNA (273 nucleotides) under uncultured prokaryote. RNAcentral describes it as "partial 16S ribosomal RNA". It matches the Rfam family "Bacterial small subunit ribosomal RNA", at positions 524 to 796 of the family's 1533-position model. The record is from RNAcentral.
AACGUAGGAGCCUAGCGUUAUCCGAAUUCACUGGGCGUAAAGCGCGUGCAGGCGGCUUGGUAAGUUGGAUGUGAAAGCUCCCGGCUCAACUGGGAGAGGACGUUCAAUACUGCCAGGCUAGAGGGCGGAAGAGGGAGGUGGAAUUCCCGGUGUAGUGGUGAAAUGCGUAGAUAUCGGGAGGAACACCAGUGGCGAAGGCGGCCUCCUGGGCCGCUCCUGACGCUCAGACGCGAAAGCUAGGGGAGCGAACGGGAUUAGAAACCCGCGUAGUCC